CGGGGUGCACCAGGCGCGAAACCUCUGCAAUGCGCGAAAGCGUGACAGGGUCAUCCCGAGUGCCAUCCGCUGAGGAAGGCUUUUGUCCGGUCUAACCAGCCGGGUGAAUAAGGGGAGGGCAAGUCUGGUGUCAGCCGCCGCGGUAAUACCAGCUCCUCGAGUGGUUGGGACGAUUAUUGGGUCUAAAGCGUCCGUAGCCGGCUGGAAAAGUUCUCCGUAAAAUCCAACGAUCCAAUCGUUGGCCCGCGGGGAAUACUUUCCGGCUUGGGGGCGGGGGAGGUCGGCGGUAGUCCCGGGGUAGGGGCGAAAUCUUAUAAUCCCGGGAGGACCACCAGUGGCGAAGGCGGCCGACUAAAACGCGCCCGACGGUGAGGGACGAAAGCUGGGGGAGCGAACGGGAUUAGAUACCCCGGUAGUCCCAGCUGUAAACGAUGCAGGCUAGGUGUUAGGACGGGUACGGCCCGUUCUAGUGCCGCAGGGAAGCCAUUAAGCCUGCCACCUGGGGAGUACGGCCGCAAGGCUGAACUCUAAAGGAAUUGGCGGGGGAGCAC
RNAcentral lists this ribosomal RNA (551 nucleotides) under uncultured archaeon. Its description in RNAcentral is "bacterial SSU rRNA". It matches the Rfam family "Archaeal small subunit ribosomal RNA", at positions 326 to 879 of the family's 1478-position model. The record is from RNAcentral.